Molecule: ribosomal RNA, 506 nt
Filed under: uncultured bacterium
Lineage: Bacteria
Description: partial 16S ribosomal RNA
Rfam family: Bacterial small subunit ribosomal RNA
Source: RNAcentral
AUUGAACGCUGGCGGCAGGCCUAACACAUGCAAGUUGGACGGUAGCACAGAGGAGCUUGCUCCUUGGGUGACGAGUGGCGGACGGGUGAGUAAUGUCUGGGGAUCUGCCCGAUAGAGGGGGAUAACCACUGGAAACGGUGGCUAAUACCGCAUAACGUCGCAAGACCAAAGAGGGGGACCUUCGGGCCUCUCACUAUCGGAUGAACCCAGAUGGGAUUAGCUAGUAGGCGGGGUAAUGGCCCACCUAGGCGACGAUCCCUAGCUGGUCUGAGAGGAUGACCAGCCACACUGGAACUGAGACACGGUCCAGACCCCUACGGGAGGCAGCAGUGGGGAAUAUUGCACAAUGGGCGCAAGCCUGAUGCAGCCAUGCCGCGUGUAUGAAGAAGGCCUUCGGGUUGUAAAGUACUUUCAGCGGGGAGGAAGGCGGUGAGGUUAAUAACCUCGCCGAUUGACGUUACCCGCAGAAGAAGCACCGGCUAACUCCGUGCCAGCCGCCGCGGUAA